Molecule: long non-coding RNA, 333 nt
Filed under: Nicotiana benthamiana
Lineage: Eukaryota; Viridiplantae; Streptophyta; Magnoliopsida; Solanales; Solanaceae
Description: long non-coding RNA (NBEN_LNC042549)
Source: RNAcentral
ACAGAUGCAAAGUCAGCUAAUGCAGACUCUACCACAAACAGUGGUGCAGAGGCAACCUCCAAAUACCAGCAGCACUUUUCAACAGCCUAUAGCUUGAUCUUUCACAAAGGAACAAUAUGAGCAAAUACUGCACAUGCUAAACAAAAGUUCAGGAACAUGCUAAACAAAGUUCAGGAACAUAUGCUUCUGCAGUAUGAACAACUAGUGCAACAAGUAUCAGUAAUGCCUUUCUAGUAGAUACUGCCAAUAAACAUUCCCAAGUAUGGAUAAUUGACACAGGAGCUACUAAUCAUAUGGUUUUUGAUCUUAGGGUAUUAUCCACUGUUGAAGAAG